Molecule: ribosomal RNA, 252 nt
Filed under: uncultured bacterium
Lineage: Bacteria
Description: partial 16S ribosomal RNA
Rfam family: Bacterial small subunit ribosomal RNA
Source: RNAcentral
AGUAACACGUGAGUGACCUGCCUUUUAGACUGGAACAACUUACCGAAAGGUGAGCUAAUGCCGGAUGAGUUAUAUAAGUGCAUGUUUAUAUAGGAAAAGUUGGGGAGACCUGACGCUGAAAGAUGGACUCGCGUCCCAUUAGCUAGUUGGUAGGGUAAUGGCCUACCAAGGCGACGAUGGGUAGCCGGCCUGAGAGGGUGGCCGGCCACACUGAGACUGAGACACGGCCCAGACUCCUACGGAAGGCAGCAG